UGAACCGCCCAGCUUUCCAAUCACUGCAUGGCAUCUUUUAGUACAAGUUGUAAAGGACGAAGCACAUGUUGAAUCAUAUCAAGAUGCCGCGCAAAUCAACAUAGACGAUCCAUUAUAAAGAGUUAAAAGGAAAAAGCUCAACAAGUAGACGCAUUAUUCCUUUAAUCAGUGGCUAACUUUUGUUACCGCCAACCAAAAUGGUUAAAAAAAACAAAAAAAAAAAACACAGGCUUUAUAGACAGUUUCUCUAAAAAUGUUUCAGAGACAAUGUAGCCUUCGAUAUUGUUUGGCAUCCAUAAUUUAUGUGUGCUAGUUCAAUCGAUUCUCCAAGUGUCCGUCCAUCCACUAAAUAUAGAGGACAGAGAAAUGAAACUCUAUGGUGGCUGUCAAGCUUUAACUGAAUGAAUCGCAGCAGCAGUACUUUGAACAACCCCAAUGAAACAUUUUCUUCCUUUUAAUUACAUUAAGAUCGAAAGUUUGGGCAGAGAGCCAUGGCAAAAUAUGCUGCACGAUUGAUCGUUCCCAUAGAUGUCAAAAAGAAGCCAUGGGAGCAGAAACUUCCACUUCACAACCGGUGGCACCCAGACAUACCAGUAGUCGCAUAUAGGUAACAGUGGGAGAGCUUUCCGGGGUUGAGAUGGUGGAUUUCAGUGGAGAUGGAAUCACGAUGGAAUACGCCACAGAGGACAUCAAGAACGCUGAUCCCUCUACCGUGAGUUGUAGCUACCUUCUUACUAUUUCCGUAGUUUUCAAUUUCUCUACUCUACAUGUAACCAUAUCAUUUCGUGGUUUCUGUCUAGGAAUUGCUUGAAAGGCAUUUCAUUAAAAAAAAAAAAUCUAAGAGCAAACGAUGAUGCAGAUAUAUAAAGCCUAAGUCCGAACUUCAAAAGUAGUAGUAGGAGGAGUCAGAAAUCCAAGACAACAAAGAUACAGAACCUGAAUCAUGUACUCCUACUAAUUAUACAAAUCAUGUACUCCUACUAAUUAUACAAGUUAACUCCUCUUCCAACGAUGUUGUUUGGUUAACCUAAUAAUUUUACGACAAAAGAUCACAUUCUCAAGCUCUCUGCAUCUCCACUGGUGUAUUAAUUAUGGCUCCUUCAACCGCAAGACUAGUACUGCCAACAGACUUGAAGAAGCAGCCUUGGGAGCAAAAACUCCCUAUCCACAACCGUUGGUCCCGAAAUACCACCGGUUGCAGAGGUUAAAGCUGGAGAGGUCUUUCCAGUAGAGAUGGUAGACUGGACCGGAGGUAUGAUCGAUCGAGGAUGAUGAUUCUGCAGUUGAUGUAAAAACCGUUGACCUAUCAACUGUUCAUUAUCUCAGUUUCCCAAUCAGAGUUUUGGACAAGGAUGAGAACCCAGCAAAGCCAGGUGAUCUUCUUGCUGUUGAAAUAUGCAACUUGGGUCCUCUCCCUCGAGAUGAAUGGGGUUUUGCAGCAUAUCAUUUGACACAGAAAAUGGAGGUGGUUCCUUGACCGGCCAUUUUCCUUGUGCAACCAAAGCUAUUUGGUCUAAUUUUGAAGGAAUAUAUGCCUAUUCGCCUCAAAUACCAUCAACAAAGGGAUAAAGUUUAUUUGAUAACUGAUAUAGAGAAUACAAUGGUGUUUCUCACAGAUGUAUCUUUUGCUAUCAUGCUGUCCAUGUGUAGGAAGGAUUUCUGGAAUAGUCGAUUCUCCUAAUGCUGGUGCGACCUUUGCAGUCCCAAUUAACAGCUAUCUGUGAUCAGGUAGUUAAUUCACAUCCUAUCUCCAGAUUAACAUACAUUCUCAAAUAGAAUGUAUGAAGUUCUAUUAUCUGGUACCCAAGGGAGAAUUGAACUGAAGAGCUAUGCUAUUCCUUACCGUAAUCCCAGACACUCUACUGAUGCGAACCCCAGUUGACUGGAUUGCUCACCUAUUCAAACAAUCACAGCAUAUAAGAGUUUACUUGUAACCUGCAUGAACCUUUGUAUAUCUUCACAGCAAACAAGAAUCCUCAUAAUGGAAAAGCAAGGAAUAGUAGUUAUCAGCAGCGAAGAUUUGAAGACAGGAAAAUGUCAUGACUUUGCGUCCUUUGUGAUUGAUCUCCUGGGUUUUGAAAUGGUGUUGGAUGAGUGCACUGUGCAGGAUAUUCGAUCAAGUGAAAGGAUAAUGUGUUGAUAACUUGAUAUAUAUAAAAAAGUGAAAAAAAAUAAAUUUAAGACUUUUUAAAAUAUUUAAAAAUAAAGUAACAAGGGGAUGUUAGCUCCUUUGAACCUUUUGUAUUAAA
This is a long non-coding RNA of Populus trichocarpa (black cottonwood), 2249 nucleotides long. RefSeq lists it as uncharacterized. NCBI's taxonomy places the organism in Eukaryota, Viridiplantae, Streptophyta, Magnoliopsida, Malpighiales, Salicaceae. The transcript has 3 exons. The record is from RefSeq and is a predicted model, not a curated record.